RNAcentral lists this ribosomal RNA (1536 nucleotides) under Klebsiella pneumoniae. Its description in RNAcentral is "bacterial SSU rRNA". It matches the Rfam family "Bacterial small subunit ribosomal RNA". Lineage: Bacteria; Pseudomonadati; Pseudomonadota; Gammaproteobacteria; Enterobacterales; Enterobacteriaceae. The record is from RNAcentral.
UUGAAGAGUUUGAUCAUGGCUCAGAUUGAACGCUGGCGGCAGGCCUAACACAUGCAAGUCGAGCGGUAGCACAGAGAGCUUGCUCUCGGGUGACGAGCGGCGGACGGGUGAGUAAUGUCUGGGAAACUGCCUGAUGGAGGGGGAUAACUACUGGAAACGGUAGCUAAUACCGCAUAACGUCGCAAGACCAAAGUGGGGGACCUUCGGGCCUCAUGCCAUCAGAUGUGCCCAGAUGGGAUUAGCUAGUAGGUGGGGUAACGGCUCACCUAGGCGACGAUCCCUAGCUGGUCUGAGAGGAUGACCAGCCACACUGGAACUGAGACACGGUCCAGACUCCUACGGGAGGCAGCAGUGGGGAAUAUUGCACAAUGGGCGCAAGCCUGAUGCAGCCAUGCCGCGUGUGUGAAGAAGGCCUUCGGGUUGUAAAGCACUUUCAGCGGGGAGGAAGGCGGUGAGGUUAAUAACCUCAUCGAUUGACGUUACCCGCAGAAGAAGCACCGGCUAACUCCGUGCCAGCAGCCGCGGUAAUACGGAGGGUGCAAGCGUUAAUCGGAAUUACUGGGCGUAAAGCGCACGCAGGCGGUCUGUCAAGUCGGAUGUGAAAUCCCCGGGCUUAACCUGGGAACUGCAUUCGAAACUGGCAGGCUAGAGUCUUGUAGAGGGGGGUAGAAUUCCAGGUGUAGCGGUGAAAUGCGUAGAGAUCUGGAGGAAUACCGGUGGCGAAGGCGGCCCCCUGGACAAAGACUGACGCUCAGGUGCGAAAGCGUGGGGAGCAAACAGGAUUAGAUACCCUGGUAGUCCACGCCGUAAACGAUGUCGAUUUGGAGGUUGUGCCCUUGAGGCGUGGCUUCCGGAGCUAACGCGUUAAAUCGACCGCCUGGGGAGUACGGCCGCAAGGUUAAAACUCAAAUGAAUUGACGGGGGCCCGCACAAGCGGUGGAGCAUGUGGUUUAAUUCGAUGCAACGCGAAGAACCUUACCUGGUCUUGACAUCCACAGAACUUUCCAGAGAUGGAUUGGUGCCUUCGGGAACUGUGAGACAGGUGCUGCAUGGCUGUCGUCAGCUCGUGUUGUGAAAUGUUGGGUUAAGUCCCGCAACGAGCGCAACCCUUAUCCUUUGUUGCCAGCGGUUAGGCCGGGAACUCAAAGGAGACUGCCAGUGAUAAACUGGAGGAAGGUGGGGAUGACGUCAAGUCAUCAUGGCCCUUACGACCAGGGCUACACACGUGCUACAAUGGCAUAUACAAAGAGAAGCGACCUCGCGAGAGCAAGCGGACCUCAUAAAGUAUGUCGUAGUCCGGAUUGGAGUCUGCAACUCGACUCCAUGAAGUCGGAAUCGCUAGUAAUCGUAGAUCAGAAUGCUACGGUGAAUACGUUCCCGGGCCUUGUACACACCGCCCGUCACACCAUGGGAGUGGGUUGCAAAAGAAGUAGGUAGCUUAACCUUCGGGAGGGCGCUUACCACUUUGUGAUUCAUGACUGGGGUGAAGUCGUAACAAGGUAACCGUAGGGGAACCUGCGGUUGGAUCACCUCCUU